AUGGAUGGUCAAGUACAAUUAGUGGCUAUUUGCUCCAUCUGUAAGCUUGCGAUCUGCACUGCAUUGCGCUGUGUAAACGGGUUUAACUGCACAGCUAUCAAAUUAAACCUUGUUAGCGCAAGUAUGCUCAGUGCUCUUUAUAGGCUUGUAUUCUCAGCCAUAAACAGGAGACCAGACUACUGACAAUUCAUUCUUCACACACACAUGAAGCCAUCUGAGAGACUAGAGACCGAGGGGCUUCGUUCAGUAGUUAUCCGUGCAGACCAUCUAAAUGGGGCCCACAGUCCUCUUCCCUGUCUAUUUUUAGCUUGGUGACAACAGGUGAUAUAUUUCCCUUCUGAUCUAUAUCUGGAGUUAUUUGGCUAAAAAUAGACGUGGUCACCGGCGUGGCGAGAUAUGGGUAGUAACAGCACAGGUACGUGGGGAGAUAUAGGUAGUAACAGCACAGGUACGUGGUCACAGGCGUGGGGGGAUAUAGGUGGUAACAGCACAGGUACGUGGGGGGAUAUAGGUGGUAACAGCACAGGUACGUGGUCAAAGGCGUGGGGGGAUAUGGGUAGUAACAGCACAGGUACGCUGACAAAGGCCCCCUGAGACGCACAAUCUCACAGGUGUGUGACGGUAGUACACACUGCAAAAGAAAACAGACACGAAAGCACCUACCAAAGCACA
Clupea harengus (Atlantic herring) is the source of this 672-nucleotide long non-coding RNA. NCBI's taxonomy places the organism in Eukaryota, Metazoa, Chordata, Actinopteri, Clupeiformes, Clupeidae. The record is from Ensembl.